GAAUUCUUCAGGAUGGAGGACUUUGUGGCGUCUCUGGAACAUGACAAGCCUGACGAAGAGGCUACGUGUCUCCAGAUGAAUAUCAAACCUAAUAUAAAAGGUCUGUCUACACCCCGGCGUGUUGCCCUGAAGCAUCUGGAGUGUAAACGCUGACGGUCUGAAGUGAAGGUCCUUCGUAACUUUUUUCUCUGGGCUCCCACAGUCCACAUCUCAGUUGGCUUCAAAACUAACGAUAGAGGUCAGCAACAACUCAGCACACAGAAGAGCUAACACACACACACACACACACACACACACAUUCUCUGAUUCAUGCUUUCUUGGUAGAGCGAUCGAGUGAAACACAGGAACACUGCUCUCCAUCCACAAUGCCUACUGCUCUUUCUCCUCUUUCUGCUUUCUUCUCCUCUCAGAUCCUGAAUUACUAUAAGUUCCCUUUCAGGCUGAUUUUCACUCAGGGUCUAAACAUGUGCAAAAUAGCACACAUUUCCUUUGUGUUUUUGGCUUAAUGAAUAGGCAUGAUGGUGAGUUAUUACCAGAAGGUGAAAAAUAUAGGGUGGAUCCAAUGCAAACUGAUUCAUCUUGCAUGCACAGUGUAAUUUAUUAGGCUUGAAAGCCACUUCAGAGAUUAUGUGCAUGCAAAUCGCUCUCAAUUAAAUCAGGUAUUAAAUGUGCGGAACACCAUUUCUAUGGGAAUUGUAUUUCAUAUUUAAAAUAAUCAUUCAUUA
This is a long non-coding RNA of Tachysurus vachellii, 725 nucleotides long. RefSeq lists it as uncharacterized. NCBI's taxonomy places the organism in Eukaryota, Metazoa, Chordata, Actinopteri, Siluriformes, Bagridae. The record is from RefSeq and is a predicted model, not a curated record. The transcript is spliced from 3 exons.